UGGUAGUUCAGUGUUAGAAUUCCUGGCUCCCAUGCAGGGUACCCAGGUUCAAUUCCUGGCUA
This 62-nucleotide transfer RNA is filed under the name Loxodonta africana (African savanna elephant). It matches the Rfam family "tRNA", at positions 5 to 66 of the family's 71-position model. Rfam says of the family: Transfer RNA (tRNA) molecules are approximately 80 nucleotides in length. Their secondary structure includes four short double-helical elements and three loops (D, anti-codon, and T loops). The record is from Rfam by way of RNAcentral. Lineage: Eukaryota; Metazoa; Chordata; Mammalia; Proboscidea; Elephantidae.